AAUGAACGCUGGCGGCAGGCCUAACACAUGCAAGUCGAACGGAUCCUUCGGAAUUAGUGGCGGAUGGGUGAGUAACGCGUGGGAACAUACCCUUUGGUACGGAAUAGCCUCGGGAAACUGGGAGUAAUACCGUAUGUGGUCGAGAGACGAAAGAUUUAUCGCCAAAGGAUUGGCCCGCGUUGGAUUAGGUAGUUGGUGGGGUAAUGGCCUACCAAGCCGACGAUCCAUAGCUGGUUUGAGAGGAUGAUCAGCCACACUGGGACUGAGACACGGCCCAGACUCCUACGGGAGGCAGCAGUGGGGAAUCUUAGACAAUGGGGGAAACCCUGAUCUAGCCAUCCCGCGUGAUCGAUGAAGGCCUUAGGGUUGUAAAGAUCUUUCAGGUGGGAAGAUAAUGACUGUACCACCAGAAGAAGCCCCGGCUAACUCCGUGCCAGCCGCCGCGGUAA
This 449-nucleotide ribosomal RNA is filed under the name uncultured bacterium. RNAcentral describes it as "partial 16S ribosomal RNA". It matches the Rfam family "Bacterial small subunit ribosomal RNA", at positions 29 to 523 of the family's 1533-position model. The record is from RNAcentral.